This 253-nucleotide ribosomal RNA is filed under the name uncultured bacterium. Its description in RNAcentral is "partial 16S ribosomal RNA". It matches the Rfam family "Bacterial small subunit ribosomal RNA", at positions 524 to 776 of the family's 1533-position model. The record is from RNAcentral.
UACGGAGGGAGCUAGCGUUGUUCGGAAUUACUGGGCGUAAAGCGCACGUAGGCGGCUCUGUAAGUUAGAGGUGAAAGCCCGGGGCUCAACUCCGGAAUUGCCUUUAAGACUGCAUCGCUUGAAUCCGGGAGAGGUGAGUGGAAUUCCGAGUGUAGAGGUGAAAUUCGUAGAUAUUCGGAAGAACACCAGUGGCGAAGGCGGCUCACUGGACCGGUAUUGACGCUGAGGCGCGAAAGCUAGGGGAGCAAACGGG